This 1318-nucleotide ribosomal RNA is filed under the name Myroides odoratimimus. RNAcentral's name for it is "bacterial SSU rRNA". It matches the Rfam family "Bacterial small subunit ribosomal RNA", at positions 78 to 1401 of the family's 1533-position model. Lineage: Bacteria; Pseudomonadati; Bacteroidota; Flavobacteriia; Flavobacteriales; Flavobacteriaceae. The record is from RNAcentral.
GCUUGCUUUUUUGAGACCGGCGCACGGGUGAGUAACGCGUAUGCAACCUACCUUAUACAGGGGAAUAGCCCGAAGAAAUUCGGAUUAAUGCUCCAUGGUUUAUCGAUAUGGCAUCGUAUUGAUAAUAAAGAUUUAUCGGUAUAAGAUGGGCAUGCGUAUCAUUAGCUAGUUGGUGUGGUAACGGCAUACCAAGGCAACGAUGAUUAGGGGUCCUGAGAGGGAGAUCCCCCACACUGGUACUGAGACACGGACCAGACUCCUACGGGAGGCAGCAGUGAGGAAUAUUGGUCAAUGGAGGCAACUCUGAACCAGCCAUGCCGCGUGCAGGAUGACGGUCCUAUGGAUUGUAAACUGCUUUUGUACAGGAAGAAACCUCCCUACGAGUAGGGACUUGACGGUACUGUAAGAAUAAGGAUCGGCUAACUCCGUGCCAGCAGCCGCGGUAAUACGGAGGAUCCGAGCGUUAUCCGGAAUUAUUGGGUUUAAAGGGUUCGUAGGCGGCUUUGUAAGUCAGUGGUGAAAUUUCCUAGCUUAACUAGGACACUGCCAUUGAUACUGCAGAGCUUGAAUAGUAUGGAAGUAACUAGAAUAUGUAGUGUAGCGGUGAAAUGCUUAGAUAUUACAUGGAAUACCAAUUGCGAAGGCAGGUUACUACGUAUUUAUUGACGCUGAUGAACGAAAGCGUGGGGAGCGAACAGGAUUAGAUACCCUGGUAGUCCACGCCGUAAACGAUGGAUACUAGCUGUUCGGUUUUCGGACUGAGUGGCUAAGCGAAAGUGAUAAGUAUCCCACCUGGGGAGUACGUUCGCAAGAAUGAAACUCAAAGGAAUUGACGGGGGCCCGCACAAGCGGUGGAGCAUGUGGUUUAAUUCGAUGAUACGCGAGGAACCUUACCAGGGCUUAAAUGUAGAUUGACAGAUUUGGAAACAGAUUUUUCUUCGGACAAUUUACAAGGUGCUGCAUGGUUGUCGUCAGCUCGUGCCGUGAGGUGUCAGGUUAAGUCCUAUAACGAGCGCAACCCCUAUUGUUAGUUACCAGCGCGUAGUGGCGGGGACUCUAGCAAGACUGCCGGUGCAAACCGUGAGGAAGGUGGGGAUGACGUCAAAUCAUCACGGCCCUUACGUCCUGGGCUACACACGUGCUACAAUGGCAAGUACAGAAAGCAGCUACCUGGCAACAGGAUGCGAAUCUCCAAAGCUUGUCUCAGUUCGGAUUGGAGUCUGCAACUCGACUCUAUGAAGCUGGAAUCGCUAGUAAUCGGAUAUCAGCCAUGAUCCGGUGAAUACGUUCCCGGGCCUUGUACACACCGCCCGUCAAG